Molecule: ribosomal RNA, 251 nt
Filed under: uncultured prokaryote
Description: partial 16S rRNA
Rfam family: Bacterial small subunit ribosomal RNA
Source: RNAcentral
ACGUAGGAGGCGAGCGUUGUCCGGAAUCAUUGGGUGUAAAGGGAGCGUAGGCGGGCUGUUAAGUCAGUUGUGAAAACCUUCGGCUUAACCGCAAGACUGCAGUUGAAACUGAUUUUCUUGAGUGUGGCAGAGGUAGGCGGAAUUUCGAGUGUAGCGGUGAAAUGCGUAGAUAUUCGGAGGAACACCAGUGGCGAAGGCGGCCUACUGGGCUUUAACUGACGCUGAGGCUCGAAAGUGUGGGGAGCAAACAG